GACGAACGCUGGCGGCGUGCUUAACACAUGCAAGUCGAACGGAAAGGCCCUGCUUUUGUGGGGUGCUCGAGUGGCGAACGGGUGAGUAACACGUGAGUAACCUGCCCUUGACUUUGGGAUAACUUCAGGAAACUGGGGCUAAUACCGGAUAGGAGCUCCUGCUGCAUGGUGGGGGUUGGAAAGUUUCGGCGGUUGGGGAUGGACUCGCGGCUUAUCAGCUUGUUGGUGGGGUAGUGGCUUACCAAGGCUUUGACGGGUAGCCGGCCUGAGAGGGUGACCGGCCACAUUGGGACUGAGAUACGGCCCAGACUCCUACGGGAGGCAGCAGUGGGGAAUAUUGCACAAUGGGCGGGAGCCUGAUGCAGCAACGCCGCGUGCGGGAUGACGGCCUUCGGGUUGUAAACCGCUUUCGCCUGUGACGAAGCGUGAGUGACGGUAAUGGGUAAAGAAGCACCGGAUAACUACGU
RNAcentral lists this ribosomal RNA (467 nucleotides) under uncultured bacterium. RNAcentral's name for it is "partial 16S ribosomal RNA". It matches the Rfam family "Bacterial small subunit ribosomal RNA", at positions 28 to 506 of the family's 1533-position model. The record is from RNAcentral.